This 247-nucleotide unclassified non-coding RNA is filed under the name Hevea brasiliensis (rubber tree). Lineage: Eukaryota; Viridiplantae; Streptophyta; Magnoliopsida; Malpighiales; Euphorbiaceae. The record is from RNAcentral.
GGCGGUGUCCAACCAGAGGGCGGUGGGACGGGCUGCUGCUGCUGCUGCUGCUGCUGCAUCAUCAUCCACUGCUGCAGCGGUGGCUGUUGUUGAUACUGCUGAUCCAUGGGGAUCUGCUGAGGGACAACUCCGGAUCCUGGCUGUUGCAUCAUAUUGAUAAUAGCGUUCUCAAAAGGGAAGAUAAGGAGGGCUGGAUCUGGGAAAAUCGGAAACCAGAGAUGAAGGGAUUGAAGUACAAUUCCUAACC